Molecule: long non-coding RNA, 292 nt
Filed under: Carica papaya (papaya)
Lineage: Eukaryota; Viridiplantae; Streptophyta; Magnoliopsida; Brassicales; Caricaceae
Description: long non-coding RNA (CPAP_LNC008967)
Source: RNAcentral
UCACUUGUCAUAGGUCUGUGUUCUGUUCUUCCUCAAGAAAUCAGGUCAUUAUUUGUUUUAUAUUAAAACAAACACAAAUUGAAGAAUACCCAUACAUAAACGUCUAAAAUCCCAAUCCAGGUCUAGAAUAAGGAAAUACUUACCAAAGUCCCUCAACAAAUUGUACUCCAGUUGAUCAACGAUCUAGAAUCACCAUACAUAAGUAUAAUUAGAUUUACUUGAUGAAAAUGAAUUAAACUCUAGGAAAACUACUAACAGUGGCCGUUUUAGGUAAUUAUCAUAACAAGCUCGU